GGCUCCAUAGCUCAGUGGUUAGAGCUACCUGUCUAGACUUACAGGAGGUCCCAGGUUCGAGUCCUGGUGUGGUCA
Molecule: non-coding RNA, 75 nt
Organism: Collybia nuda
Lineage: Eukaryota; Fungi; Basidiomycota; Agaricomycetes; Agaricales; Clitocybaceae
Source: the annotation of a GenBank genome assembly